This 1985-nucleotide long non-coding RNA is filed under the name Ananas comosus (pineapple). Its description in RNAcentral is "long non-coding RNA (ACOM_LNC035386)". Lineage: Eukaryota; Viridiplantae; Streptophyta; Magnoliopsida; Poales; Bromeliaceae. The record is from RNAcentral.
AUAACUCUUCAGAUUCAUCUCAUUCCAAAAUGUAGAAUUAACCGCCUAUCAACCAUCAAGUCAUUCGCUCUGGCAUGAACUUCAUUACUCCAGCUCUGGAUGUCAUUGUCUUUAUUCUCUGUAUAGCAUCUUAGAUUCUCUACUUAGUCAAUGUACAAGCCAUUGACAACAAUGAAUUAUAUAUAAAAACAUAAUUUUGCUUUGACAAUUACCUGUAGGAUAACGUUUCAGCAUGGAUCUUUAUAGUUCCUUCUUUGGGUAUUUUAAUUCACCUUACCUGAACAAGGAGGAAAUAAAGAAUGCCGGUAACAUUAUCAAACAAGAGAGUACAAAUGGUCACAAGCAGUGUCGAAUCAAAAUUGAGAGUAAAACUUCAGUGUCGGUUUUCAUCUCGCCAACAGCUUCAAUUACUUUCUUAGUACCAUCUGCAUUCUUUUCUGCUUAUACAGAGGGAGAUAGUUAGCUUGCAUUCUUUUCUGCUUAUACAGAGGGAGAUAGUUAGCCUUCCUUGAGUCAUCCUGAGUGUCCUACUCAAAGCCAAUUCUCCAAGGGUUGGUUUUGCAAUUCUUCUUACCCUUCCAUUGAGAUUUCUGAAGUUGUAUCAACUUUCUCUCCAAAGAAGAGCAAUAUUGGACUUUCAAUAGCUUCACAGCAUCACAAGGACCUAUGCAGACACUAGAGCAAACAGGAGGUGAAAGGAAAUAAAGGAAGGAACAAAAAGAACAAGACAUGCUAGGUGACAACUACAAAAUCCCAAAAUUCUGAGUAGCCAAAGAAUUUGUACAAAAUCCCAAAAUUCCGGCAAAUUGAAUUAAGAAAUUGUUUGUUAUCUAUCUACCAAUAAUAAUUGUUGACAAAAUCUGAAGUUACUAUCAUCAUUUGAAUAAGUACUCAGAACUGAACAAAAUCUCUAAUUGGGAUGAUAGAUCACAAGUUUUGAAAGUCGCCGAUCAAAAUAAUAAUACUUACUUAAGGGGUCUAUUUCAAAAUAUGUAUAAUCGAGGGGUACUCAAAGAAAAAAAAAUAAAAACUGCAUCUGGUUUCAGUUAGUUUAUUUUUAAUUAACUUUACCUGCCCAUAGUCAAGUGUAUUCAUAUGGACUAAAGCACUGUAGGGUCAUGGACAAUAAUCUACACAAAUUAAUUCCAGUGCCAUAAUAAUAAUGGAUGCAAGGAUUGGAGGAUUAGUUGACACCAUGUGCCAUAGGGGAUUAAUUAAAUGGUAAUGUGUUCCACCUAGCAAGGAUUAAAUGAAAAUGCGCUGUAACGCGUGUCUCGCAGCAUGUGGAGGCCGGCUUCUGUUUCUGUAGUUUCUACUGUUGUUUAUUCUUCUUUUUUCUCAGCCUCUUUAUUCUUCUUCUAUUUUUACUAUUGCUGGUUUUCCGUCCUGUUGAAAGUGUUGAUUAUUAAUGAGCGAUGAUGACAAACAAAAGUGAAGGAACCCAAAUGGUUCUCCAAUUUUGAUGGCCAAAUGGCGACUCUCACUGCAGUCUAAGAAGUAUUUUCCUGUGCCCCCAUUGAGAGCAAUAUGAAGGACUACAUAACAUGCAGUAGUUGCUCCCUAGAAAAGUAUAUCACAUUCUUUAUGCUUUCUAGGCUGACCAAUUAUGCCAUUUUUUCAAAUUUCUUAACAACAAAUGCCCACUAUUUAUUUUGUUCUGUGUGCUUCUAUUUUUUUUUUAAAAAAAAAUAGCAUCUAACAUAAUACAUGUUUUUUUUAUCCCUUCUUUGCCAUAAUGUAUGUAGCUAUUAUUCCUUAAAUAUUGUUCGUUGAGGCAAUACUUUGUAUCUAAACUCAUUUAACAAUAAAAACUAUUUUUGACAGUAUUUGGUAUUUUAUUUUUAUUUAUUGUUUAACUACUAUUUCUGCGGCUACUACUAUGCUUCUUUUGCAUUAGUUUCUGCUUCAGUUUCUUUUAUUCUUUUUCGUUUCUAAUCCACACGGCUGUUUCUGUUGUUCAAUCUGUUGAAUUGUUCAGUGUUUAA